GACGAACGCUGGCGGCGUGCUUAACACAUGCAAGUCGAACGGAAAGGCCCUGCUUUUGUGGGGUGCUCGAGUGGCGAACGGGUGAGUAACACGUGAGUAACCUGCCCUUGACUUUGGGAUAACUUCAGGAAACUGGGGCUACUACCGGAUAGGAUCUCCUGCUGCAUGGUGGGGGUUGGAACUUUUCGGCGGGUGGGGAUGGACUCGCGGCUUAUCAGCUUGUUGGUGGGGUAGUGGCUUACCAAGGCUUUGACGGGUAGCCGGCCUGAGAGGGUGACCGGCGACAUUGGGACUGAGAUACGGCCCAGACUCCUACGGGAGGCAGCAGGGGGGAAUAUGGCACAAUGGGAGGAAGCCUGAUGCAGCAACGCCGCGUGCGGGAUGACGGCCUUCGGGUUGUAAAACGCUUUCGCCUGUGACGAAGCGGGAGUGACGGUAAUGGGUAAAGAAGCACCGGCUAACUACGUG
Molecule: ribosomal RNA, 468 nt
Filed under: uncultured bacterium
Lineage: Bacteria
Description: partial 16S ribosomal RNA
Rfam family: Bacterial small subunit ribosomal RNA
Source: RNAcentral